ACGCUCGACACCUACGAGGCAGCAGUGGGGAAUAUUGCACAAUGGGGGAAACCCUGAUGCAGCGAUGCCGCGUGAAGGAAGAAGUAUCUCGGUAUGUAAACUUCUAUCAGCAGGGAAGAAAAUGACGGUACCUGACUAAGAAGCCCCGGCUAACUACGUGCCNGCAGCCGCGGUAAUCUGAGCGGGCUGGCAAGGC
RNAcentral lists this ribosomal RNA (196 nucleotides) under uncultured bacterium. Its description in RNAcentral is "partial 16S ribosomal RNA". It matches the Rfam family "Bacterial small subunit ribosomal RNA", at positions 326 to 539 of the family's 1533-position model. The record is from RNAcentral.